AUCUUUUUAAUUGUUGAAUGCUCAGACUCUUGGGUUCUUAUGAUUUAUAUGCUUGAAAAAAAAACUGAUCUGAUGC
Non-coding RNA from Populus trichocarpa (black cottonwood), 76 nucleotides. The record is from Rfam. NCBI's taxonomy places the organism in Eukaryota, Viridiplantae, Streptophyta, Magnoliopsida, Malpighiales, Salicaceae.